AUUGAACGCUGGCGGCAGGCUUAACACAUGCAAGUCGAGCGGGGUGAUGGUGCUUGCACUAUCACUUAGCGGCGGACGGGUGAGUAAUGCUUAGGAAUCUGCCUAUUAGUGGGGGACAACAUCUCGAAAGGGAUGCUAAUACCGCAUACGUCCUACGGGAGAAAGCAGGGGAUCACUUGUGACCUUGCGCUAAUAGAUGAGCCUAAGUCGGAUUAGCUAGUUGGUGGGGUAAAGGCCUACCAAGGCGACGAUCUGUAGCGGGUCUGAGAGGAUGAUCCGCCACACUGGGACUGAGACACGGCCCCGACUCCUACGGGAGGAAGCGGUGGGGAAUAUUUGACAAUGGGGGGAACCCUGAUCCAGCCAGGCCGCGUGUGUGAAGAAGGCCUUAUGGUUGUAAAGCACUUUAAGCGAGGAGGAGGCUCUUUUGGUUAAUACCCAAGAUGAGUGGACGUUACUCGCAGAAUAAGCACCGGCUAACUCUGUGCCAGCCGCCGCCGUAA
This 503-nucleotide ribosomal RNA is filed under the name uncultured bacterium. RNAcentral's name for it is "partial 16S ribosomal RNA". It matches the Rfam family "Bacterial small subunit ribosomal RNA", at positions 30 to 523 of the family's 1533-position model. The record is from RNAcentral.